CGCCGGGAGGUCGAAGACCCCAGCCCAAACAGGACCCCGGCAGGGCGGGGAACCCAACCCAGGCAAUACCCAGGCAGGACCCAUACCCCAGCCCAGGCGGGACCCCGGGAGGGCCGAGACCUCAGCCCAGGCAGGACUAGGAAGAGCCAAGACCCCAGCCCAGGCAAGACCCCAGCGGAGGCAGGACCCUGGGAGGGCCAAGACCCCAGUCGAGGCAGGACCCUGGGAGGGCCAAGACCCCAGCCCAGGCAGGACCCCGGGAGGGCGGGGAACCCAGUCCAGGCAGGAGACGCAGGGAGGGUAAGACCCUAACCCAGGCAGGACCCCAGGAGAGCUGGGUCCUCAGACCAGCCAGCACCUAAAGAGAGUUGGGCCCUGGGACUGCACAGGACCCCCAGCAUGCCAGGACAGGUCAUCCAGGAGGGUCUGACCCUGGGACAGGCCACCAAGAAGAGCUGGGACCCCAAGAUGGGUCACCAAGGAGGGUUGGACCUGGCCACCUGGCAGGGACCAGGGAGGGCUAGGACCCUGGGAAAAAUCACGGAGGAGGAUCAGACCUAGGGACCAGGCAGAACCCAAAGAAUGCCAGAACCCCAGAAUAGGUACCCAAGGAAGGUCCCACCUUAAAGUGGGCCACAGAUGAGGGUCAGGAUCCCACGACUGUCGCUCCGGAGGACCUGACCCUGAGACCACCCCGUCUCCCCCGGAGGGGUAGGACCCUGAGACCACCCCAUCUCCCAUGGAGGGAUAGAACCCUGAGACUACCCUGUCUCCCCCGGAGGGGUAGGACCUUGAGACCACCCCAUCUCCCACGGAGAGAUAGAACCCUGAGACAGACAGCUUCAUCUCCCCAACCCCAGACCCUGAGACCACUCCAUCUCCCCGGGGGGGGGGGGGUGGGCUCGGACCCUGAGAGAUGGCCCCAUCUCCCCCAUCUGCUGGGACCCUGAGAUCGCCCCAUCUCCCCUGGGGGGGCUGGGAGCCUGAGACAGCCCUGUCUCCCCUGGGGGCUGGGAGCCUGAGACAACCCAGUCUUCCCCCCAGGGGGAGCUGAGACCCUGAGACGGCCCCAUCUCCCCCCUGGAGUCUGGGACCCUGAGACUGGACAGUGAGAGGGACUUGUGAAGUGGACAGGGUCCUAGAUGACCAGGACCUCAAAUGGGGUCACUUAGGGUUGGGACACUGAGUAUGGAUGAGGGGAGGGGAGAAGGCUAGGCUUUCAAGGAGGACCUGAUGAGCUAGAACUUCCAGAAAGGUCCUCAGAGGAGCUGGGACUCCCGAACAAGUCCCUGAAGAGCAUGUAGAUCCCAAGACUAGAUUGUAAGAAGUACUGGGACCCUGGGGUGCGAUCCGGAGGUGUACUGAAUCUGCCUAGCCCACUCAGCUGGACGCACCUGCUGUGAAGGCCCAGGCAUCUGGCAUCCUGGUACCUGAGGCCCUUUCCAUGAGACCCUGGCCCAGCCCCACAGCCCCUGCACACAAGCUCCCCAGGCUGGGACCUGGGGCAGGUAUGAGGCAGGGGACUCAGGGUUCCAGGAGCUCCCAGCCCACAGGCUCCAUGCCUCAGGCUGGCACUGUGCCCUCCCCUCCUCUCAGCCCCUCGUCCAGGGCUGCUGUCCUUCCCUCGCCUUGGCUAUGGUUGGUGUCCAGCACCUUCAGCCCUCCUGCCCCUCUCCCCACCUCCAAGGUUACCUGAGUGCCCCCUUCCUCAGUGUAGAGGCAUUUUCACUGUCUGGGAGACUCAAAGGAGGGGGGGAUCUGAGCUGGGAUGUGGACUCCUGGGCAUAUUUUGGGGACAGUUGGUCUGAGUCAGGGAAGUUGGAGCAGGCAUGACUGUUUCCCACUCCGUCUCCACUGCAGGAAGGGAAGGAAUUGAAGCAUCCUGGUUGGGGGGCAUGGGGUGGAGGUCUUUAUUUCUCUCAAACCUUUGAAUCAGCCUUUCAUCUAGAAUUUGUGGGUGUUUUCCUUUAAUUUGGAAGUGGUAAUGAAAGCGUGGGGUGCAGUUUUUAUUCUGCUGAGGUGUUCACAGUGAGUGGUCUGUGCUGUCCUUUGACUAGGGAAGAUCGUGUCAGGGUGUUUCUUGAGGGUGGUCAGCCUGGGAGCCCGCUCCUAGAGGGUACGGCAUGGUUGCUAGCAUGCAGCGCACAUUUCCUGAAAGAGUGAAUGAUGCAUGAACAAAUGAAUGAAAGGCAGUAGAUCCUCAGAGACAUCCACUCGGAUCAGGUGUGCACAGUUGCCUGGAAGCUGGGCAGUAAGAUGAGGUGUAACCCUAAAACUCUAGCUCUGUGGACUCCCAAGAGAGACACUGAAUUAGAUGGUUCGGGAUUUCAUCUUUGCCACAACUUCACUUCUUGGUUACUUAGGAGAAAACCACUUUAGGUUUUCAGCUUAACAUUUGAGGGUACUGAAUGUCAGCCAAAUGUGUCCCUGCCUGGUCAGCCUAGACCUAGAAGCUUUUAUUUGCCCGAUGUAACCGCCUGGGACCUUUUACUUAACACUUCCUUCUGAUUUGCUCUUUUGACAUAUCCUUACUGUCUUUAAAACUUAAUUUGCUUUGUGAAAUUGUGGAAGAGGCUUGUGAAGCUGAGUAUUCAGGUUUGUUUGGCUCUGUGCUGUCUGGUUCCCAGGUUUUUAGAGGUGUGGUUGUCCUGAGUGGAGCAGAUUACCCCAAACCUGUGCCUUAAACCGACAGUCAGAUAGUAUCUUACUGUUUCUGUGGGUCAGGGCUCCAGGUGGGCCCUCUGGCUCAGGAGGCUCCCAUCUGGGGCUGUGUCUCCUCUGGCUCAGGGGGCUCCCAUCUGGGGCUGUGUCUCCUCUGGCUCAGGGGGCUCCCAUCUGGGGCUGUGUCUCCUCUGGCUCAGGGGGCUCCCAUCUGGGGCUGUGUCUCCUCUGGCUCAGGGGGCUCCCAUCUGGGGCUAUGUCUCCUCUGAACGCUGGACUGGGAGCGUUUGCAUUCAGGCUGCAUCAUGUGACUGUGGGCUGGAGACCUCAGUUCCUUUCUCUAUAGGGCAGCUCCGAGGGUGCCCACGCCAAGCCAGAGAGGGACAGGAAGGACGUCCCAGACUGUGGAGUGACAUUCUAUCACUUUUGCCAAAUUCUCUUUGCCAGCAGUGAGUUGUUAGGCCCCUCCAUGGUUGGGAGGGAACUCCGAACGGUGAGCAUACCGUGGGCAGGUGUGGUCACCGGAACCACCUAAAGCCUGCCCAGCGUAGUGGUGCUGUGAGCCUGGCAUCUGCCAGGGCACUGGAGAGACAGCCCGUAAGUGAAUGGCGUGUAGACUGAUGUGUUAAGACGAGGAUGUGACCAUCCAGCUGUCUCUUUAAUUGCUGUGGGUUUCUCCCAUGUCACUGUCGGGAUUGAGAUAUUUGUGAUGUGUAAAAGAAGAUAAAUUACAGGUAGAAAAGAUUCUUAGGAAUUAACUUGCAGUUUGGAAUAUGAGUAGCCGUAAGACUCCACAAAUUAAAUGACAGGGUGUGUCACUAAUGUCAGAUUCUAACAGCUUCAAGUGCAGUGUUUUACUUGUCCUCAGCGUCCCCUCAUUUUAUUCCUGCCAGUGGUCUUGCUCCAGAAAUUAUCAACCGACUUCCGUUACGUUUUCCUAAACCACUUUAAAUAUAUGUUGGAAAUGUUUUUACUGGUCAAUGUCGGCCUCGUGCCCACGGUUAUUUGUGACUUCAUAACGGUGCUGUAGGAGACGUGAGACCCUGACCGUGUUGGACAUUUGGCCCGUGUGAGGGCUUAGGUCCAGGGUGCAGGCACCACUGCCAUCCAGAGCCUCUGCCCCCAGCCCACACCCUCCGCCCCACAGGGAGCUGGACCCACCCCUCCCUGCAGUUCUGGGCUGCAGCCAGGGCCGUGAAGGGGCCCUGUCCUGGACUCUGGAGACCUCAGCCUGCCCCUCCUACCACGCCGCACUCCCCAGACGUUCAGCGGCUCUGGCAACCUCCAGGAGCAGUAGGGGCCCUUCGCCGGGGGCUAGAAUCAUUUACUUGGGUGUUUUCAUUUGGGUUAUGAAGUGAGUCUUGUUUGGGUGUAUACUGUUCCUCUUUUUUUUCUUUUUUUUUUUUUUAGACAGAGUUUUGUUCUUGUUGCUCAGGCUGGAGUGCAGUGGCGCGAUCUCGGCUCACCGCAACCUCCGCCUCCCAGGUUUAAGAGAUUCUCCUGCCUUAGCCUCCCAAAUAGCUGGGAUUAUGGGCAUGCAUUACCACACCCAGCUCAUUUUGUAUUUUUUAGUAAAGAUGGGGUUUCUCCAUGUUCAGGCUGGUCUUGAACUCCCAACCUCAGGUGAUCCACCCGCCCCAACCUCCCAAAGUGCUGGGAUGGCAGGCGUGAGCCACUGCACCCGGCCACCGGGCAUGAGCUGAGAUCGCACCACCGCACUCCAGCCUGGACAACAAGAGCAAAUGGCAGGAUUUGUUAUUUUGUUUGCAGCCUUGCAAUUGAAGUUGAAAUGUCAUUUUUCAACAAAAUUAGCCAGCCAUGGCGGUGAGCACCUGUAAUCCCACCUACUCAGGAGGCUGAGCCAGGAGAAUUGCUUGAACCCAGGAGGUGGAGGUUGCAGUGAUCUGAGAGCACUACUGUCCUCCAGUGUGGGUGACAGAGCAAGACUUUGACUCAAAAAAAAAAAAGAAAAGAAAAUGUAAUUUUUCUUUUACCGUUGAAAUACAGUGAGGUUUAGGGACAGUUUCCUGUUGUUGAUCUAUUUUUUAUUCUGAUAUUUGCUGUUGAUAUUGCAAAAAUAUGGCACAAUUCAUUGUGCUUUAAAAAUUGAAAUUAUUUUUAAUUUCCUACAUUGAUAGUUUAUCAUUGAAUUUUAAAAAUGUGAGGCCUUAAGAAAAACAACAGAACUAUCUUUCCCUGUCGGCCACAUUUCUCCCAUAGAACCGAGUUAUGCAAAAGUCAGAGCGACAAAGAGCAGCAGUGAACAUUGCCCGGGUGCGCUUUUGUGGGAUUAUCCCCUAAAUUAAGCAAACCUCCCAUGGAUAGGAACUACUACUCUCUGGAAAAUAUAGUCCUUCAACCUGUUAUAUUAAAGAUAAACUCUAAUUUUUUUGUUGUUGUUUUGUUUUGAGAUGGAGUUUUGCUCUCGUUGCCCAGGCUGGAGUGCAAUGGCAUGAUCUUGGCUCAUGGCAACCUCUGCUUCCCGAGUUCAAGCAAUUCUCCUUCCUUAGCCUCUGGAAUAGCUGGGAUUGCAGGUGCACGCCAUCACGCUCUGCUACUUUUUUGUAUUUUUAGUGGAGAUGGGGUUUCACCAUGUUGGCCAGGCUGUUCUUGAUCUCCUGCCCUCAGGUGAUCCACCCACAUCAGCCUCGGAAGUGUUGAGAUUACAGGCAUGAGCCAUUGUGCCCGGCCAAUCAACUCUAAUAUUUACGUUCCCUUAGAGAGUGGGGGGUAAUUGAGGUUUGUUGGCUUAUUUUUUUUUCCCGCAAAUUCGUUGAUACUUGCUGGGCUUUGCUACAUUAGCAGCAAAUUCCAGACGUUUAAUAAGCAAUAGAUGCAAAGAGGACAUCUGUCUGCAGGCCUCCCUGAAACUCCCUCUAAUCCAUGGGUCCUGUGGGCCCCUGGGUGGGGGCUAUGUGGCCUCAUGGGUGCUAUGUGACCUUGUGGGGCCUGUGGGGCCUUGUGGGGGCUGUGGGGCCUCAUGGGGCUGUGUGGCCUCUGGGGGCCUCUGGGCCUUAUGGGGCUGUGUGGGCUUGUGGGUUCUGUGUGGUCUCGUGGGGGCUGUGUGCUUCAUGGCUCUUGUGGAGGCUGUGGGCCUGGUGGGUCCUGUGUGGACUUGUGGGGGCUGUGUGGGCUCGUGGGGGUUGUGUGCCUCGUGGGUCCUGUGUGGUUUCAUGGGGGCUGUGGGCCUGGUGGGUCCUGUGCGGUCUUGCGGGGGCUGUGGGCCUGGUGGGUCCUGUGUGGUCUUGUGGAGGCUGUGGGCCUGGCGGGUCCUGUGUGGGAUUGUCGGGGCUGUGUGAGCUCAUGGGGGUUGUGUGCCUCGUGGGUCCUGUGUGGGUUCAUGGGGGCUGUGGGCCUGGUGGGUCCUGUGUAGUCUCGUGGGGGCAGUUGGCCUGGUGGGUCCUGUGUGGUCUUGUGGGGGCUGUGGGCCUGAUGGGUCCUGUGUGGUCUUGUGGGGGCUGUGGGCCUGGUGGGUCCUGUGUGGUCUUGUGGGGGCUGUUGGCCUGGUGGGUCCUGUGUGGUCUUGUGGAGGCCGUGGGCCUUGUGGGUCCUGUGUGGUCUUGUGGAGGCUGUGGGCCUGGUGGGUCCUGUGUGGUCUUGUGGAGGCUGUGGGCCUGGUGGGUCCUGUGUGGGAUUGUCGGGGCUGUGUGGGCCUGGUGGGUCCUGUGUGGGAUUGUCGGGGCUGUGUGGGCUAGUGGGGGUUGUGUGGUCUUGUGGAGGCUGUGGGCCUGGUGGGUCCUGUGUGGGAUUGUCGGGGCUGUGUGGGCUCGUGGGUCCUGUGUGGGAUUGUCGGGGCUGUGUGGGCUCGUGGGGGUUGUGUGGGAUUGUCGGGGCUGUGUGGGCUCGUGAGUCCUGUGAGGGAUUGUCGGGGCUGUGUGGGCUCGUGGGGGUUGUGUGCCUCGUGCGUCCUAUGUGGAUUCAUGGGGUCUGUGGGCCUGGUGGGGCUGUGUUGGCUCAUGGGGGCUGUGUAGGCCUCAUGGAUCCUGUGUGGCCUCGGGGCUGUCGGCCUUGUGGCUCAUCUCCUAUCUGGGUCUUGUGAGCUGUUACAUCUCCAGGUUCUUGAUUAGGGCCUGGCCCAUAUUCGGUGCUGAGUAAACAGUAGCUGAACACUGAUCCUCAUGGAUGCCAUGUGGAGCUGUUCUGAGCAGCGUGCGUAUUAACGUGUUUGACUCCUGCUGCCGCCCAGGAAUCAGACCAGCAUGAGCCUGGCACAGCAGAGGGUGCACAGGGCCGGCGUGGGUGGAAUGUGAGGCUUCCAGGGCUCGUCUUUUGACUUCUUCAAUUUUAAGUGAUUUUAAUUUCCUUUUUUACCCAAAUUUUUAUUAAGAAAAAGAAUCACAAUAGAGAAUAACGUGGAGAAUUAUAGUGAGUACCUGCUGUGGUCCAAACGUCUGUGUCCCCCAGAAUCCAUGGGGGGACCCUAAUCCCCAAGGUGGUGAUGUCGGGCGUGGGGCCCUCAGGAGGCUCUGCCUGGAUGACCAGGGCUAGCCCCUUUCUAUCACUGAGGACGUGAGGGAAGGCGCUGCCUGUGAGGACUCGGACCCCACUAGCCCCCAAAUCUACCAGCAUCUUGAUUUUGGACUCCCAGCCUGCAGAACUGAGAAACGCGUUCUGUGGUUUGUCAGCUGCUUGGUAUAAGGUGCUUCAGUCGCAGCCACCUGAACAGACCAGGAUGGCACCCUCUGCCGCCCAGAUCCACUUGUGCUUCCUCUCCUCUGAAUACCUCCUGGAUCCCGACAGGAUGGGCCUUGCUGGGAAGGUUAGAGUCCCACCUGAGAGCAAGAACAAGGAAGGAUCCCCAUGCUGCUGCACCCCACUGUGAUCCUCAGAUGGUGGCACGUACUCCACAGUGGCAGCUGACCCUCAGGCCGCUUUCCCUCUCCCCAGCUGUGACAGCGGCACGUAUUCCACAGUGGGACUGACCCCCAGGCCGCUCUGUGUCUCCCCAGCUGUCUUGAGAAUGUUUCCACCUUUUCCUCAGCCAGAAUCAGCUGGGGCCUGGCCUUGUCCUGGAGGUCCUGGCCCUUUUGACCCUGCCAGGCAAGAUCCCCUGGCGCUGGAGGUCUUGUCUCUCUGUCCAUGGACCCGGCUUGUGUCCUUUCCACCUGCUGGCUUCUGCCAGUCCAGCAGAGGCUUGGCCCUGACCCUUCUGUCUCUGCAGAGACCCUUGUCAUUAGCUAAGGCACACCUGGCACUCCCAAUUCUGAGUUAGCUUAUUUGGGACCUUAAUUCCACCUUCAAAAGUCCCUUUAGAGCAGACUUUGGGUCAGGAUGUGAAUAACUGGAGGAUGUGUGUGUACACUAGAGCUCCAGAUUCUCGGCACCGUUUCCAAAUUUUGCCCACCGCAGUCUGGCCUCUUGUGACUCCAAAUUUAUAUCCUUCACAAAUGCACACUGCAUUCACCCUUUCCCUUCCAAGGUUCCCAGGAUCUUCUUGAGGGUGGCAUUAGCUCAGAGGCCUGAGGUGAUGUGUUCAGCAUGGGUGCAGCACCAGGGUGGACCUGGGCGCUGAGAUGGCUACUUGCCAGUUCAGGCCCAGCUGCUCUGUUCAAACAGGGACAUGGAGCGAGCCAGGAGUCCCUGGGCCACAGCAGUUCCCAUGCUAGAGGGGUGAGGGGGCAGACACCAGUCGGCUUCUUUUUUUUUUUUUUUGAGACAGAGUUUCGCUCUUGUUACCCAGGCUGGAGCGCAAUGGCGCAAUCUCGGCUCACCGCAACCUCCGCCUCCUGGGCUCAGGCAAUUCUCCUGCCUCAGCCUCCCGAGUAGCUGGGAUUACAGGCACGGGCCACCAUGCCCAGCUAAUUUUUUGUGUUUUUAGUAGAGACGGGGUUUCACCAUGUUGACCUGGAUGGUCUCAAUCUCUUGACCUUGUGAUCCACCCGUCUCGGCCUCCCAAAGUGCUGGGAUUACAGGCGUGAGCCACCGCGCCCGGCUCACCAGUCGGCUUCUAAUGAGGUUUCAGGCUGGAGGUCCUACUGGCCUUGGCCCUUCCCUUGGAGCUGCCUCACGUUUGCUGGGUUGAGCGUUGGCAAUUGGGUAGCUCCGUCAGCUGCUCCCAGCCCUACAGAAGGGUCCCACAGCCUCUGGACCUGUUUUUACUUUCUCCUGCUUCUGUGCAGAUUGAGCAAGAGAAUUGGGCUUCUGUGCUGUGAUCCUGUGGACACUGUGAGUGUGAGAAUCAGGUGCUGGGACCCUAUAGACUCCAAGUGUGAGAAUCGGGUGUGGGUGCUGGGACCCUGUAGACACUGUGACUGUGAGAAUCGGGUGUGGGUGCUGGGACCCUGUAGACAGUGUGAGUGUGAGAAUCGGGUGUGAGUGCUGGGACCCUGUAGGCACUGUGAGUGUGAGAAUCAGGUGCUGGGACCCUAUAGACUCCAAGUGUGAGAAUCGGGUGUGGGUGCUGGGACCCUGUAGACAGUGUGAGUGUGAGAAUCGGGUGUGGGUGCUGGGACCCUGUAGGCACUGCGAGUGUGAGAAUCGGGUGUGGGAGCUGGGACCCUGUAGGCACUGUGAGUGUGAGAAUCGGGUGUGGGUGCUGGGACCCUGUAGGCACUGUGAGUGUGAGAAUCGGGUGUGGGAGCUGGGACCCUGUAGGUACUGCGAGUGUGAGAAUCGGGUGUGGGUGCUGGGACCCUGUAGGUACUGGGAGUGUGAGAAUUGGGUGUGGGUGCUGGGACCCUGUAGGCACUGUGAGUGUGAGAAUCGGGUGUGGGAGCUGGGACCCUGUAGGUACUGCGAGUGUGAGAAUCGGGUGUGGGUGCUGGGACCCUGUAGGUACUGGGAGUGUGAGAAUUGGGUGUGGGUGCUGGGACCCUGUAGGCACUGCGAGUGUGAGAAUCGGGUGUGGGUGCUGGGACCCUGUAGAGAGUGUGAGAAUCGGGUGUGGGUGCUGGGAUCCUGUAGAUGCAGUGUGAAUGUGAGAAUCGGGUGUGGGUGCUGGGACCCUGUAGGCACUGUGAGUGUGAGAAUCGGGUGUGGGUGCUGGGACCCUGCAGGCACUGUGAGUGUGAGAAUCGGGUGUGGGUGCUGGGACCCUGUAGAGAGUGUGAGAAUUGGGUGUGGGUGCUGGGAUCCUGUAGAUGCAGUGUGAGAAUUGGGUGUCGGUGCUGGCACCCUGUUGGCACCGUUAGCUGCGUUCUGAGUUUGCUCUCAUUUCCUGGUGUUUUCUGGCUUUACCGUCUCCAGCUCUGCCUCUUGAGGGUCCCUUGCAGCCCCUGGCUCCCCUUGGCCUCUGUUUGUGUUUUCCUGUCCGAGGGCCUUGUUCUGCGGCCACUGCCUGCUGGUCCUGCAGGGCCCCUGUUGUCACCUCUGGUUGGCUACAGGCCUGUGGGACCUGGGGUGCGGGUGUCACUGAGCUCUUGCCUCCGUCUGGGGCCACCUGUUGCUUCCUCAACCUCCGCCUCCUGGGCUGGUCUCCUCCCGCAGUCUGCCCCUGCCACGCUGCCUCCUCACUGUAGGUGUGUUUUUUCAGUCAUCACUCCCUGGCCAUUGUUGUGCUGGUCCCAGCUGAAGCCUGAUUGCGGUCGGCAGUGACCAGCCGGACGGGGCAGGUGCUGUGAACUCCACCUGGUGCCGAAGAGGCAUUUGGCAGGCGUUUUCUGAGUGAGUGUUGGGGUGCAGCCUCCCUGAGACCUCUGGAAACACCUUUGCAUCUUCUCUCCCUGAGUAGUCAAGAUGCUGGGCAGGGAAUUCUGUGUGGAAGGGCGUUUUCUUCAGCACUGUGGAAGAAUGGUGUUUUCCACCUGUAAAAUCCAGUGUUGCCAUUGUCAAGUCAAACCUGGUCUUUUGUGGGGCUUCUCCCCCGGAGCUGCGGGGACCCCUCUGUUCCCUGAGACCCUGUAGUCGGCGGGGCGGGGGGGGUGGCUGUGUGUGAUGCUCCGUGGCCCCUCAUUCUGGCAGGAUUGUUUCAGCUUCUGAGAUGAAGACGGCCUGCGCAGGCCUGGAGAAUAAUACAGCAAGGCCUAUGUGCUUAUCAUCCCGCUGGGGAAGUAAGAUGAAGUAUAAUCAAAGCUCUCUCUCAGUUUUCUCUCUGCUUUCUGUAAGCCUAUUAACGGAUGCUGGAACUUUUCUGUCACCUGUGCUGUCUCUUUCUAGUGUUUGGGAAGAUUUUCUCAACUUCAUCAUCCACUCCUUCUACUGAAUUUUAAUACUGCCAGGCACAUGGCUGACAUCACCAUGUAGGGAGAUGGCCAGGGAACAAGCUUCACGAUGUAGCAGGGACCCGAGUGUCGUGCUCAG
Callithrix jacchus (white-tufted-ear marmoset) is the source of this 10899-nucleotide non-coding RNA. Lineage: Eukaryota; Metazoa; Chordata; Mammalia; Primates; Cebidae. The record is from RefSeq and is a predicted model, not a curated record.